UACAGAGGGUGCGAGCGUUAAUCGGAGUUACUGGGCGUAAAGGGCGCGUAGGCGGCUUUAUAAGUUAGAUGUGAAAUCCCUGGGCUUAACCUAGGAAUGGCAUCUAAGACUGUAGAGCUAGAGUAUUGUAGAGGGUAGUGGAAUUUCCGGUGUAGCGGUGAAAUGCGUAGAGAUCGGAAGGAACACCAGUGGCGAAGGCGGCUACCUGGACAAAUACUGACGCUGAGGCGCGAGAGCGUGGGGAGCAAACAGG
RNAcentral lists this ribosomal RNA (253 nucleotides) under uncultured prokaryote. Its description in RNAcentral is "partial 16S ribosomal RNA". It matches the Rfam family "Bacterial small subunit ribosomal RNA", at positions 524 to 776 of the family's 1533-position model. The record is from RNAcentral.